RNAcentral lists this ribosomal RNA (1673 nucleotides) under metagenome. RNAcentral describes it as "bacterial LSU rRNA". It matches the Rfam family "Bacterial large subunit ribosomal RNA", at positions 1251 to 2925 of the family's 2925-position model. The record is from RNAcentral.
UGAAGGUGCGUUGUAAAGCGUGCUGGAGGUAUCAGAAGUGCGAAUGCUGACAUGAGUAGCGUUAAAGGGGGUGAAAAGCCCCCUCGCCGUAAGCGCAAGGUCUUCUACGCAACGUUCAUCGGCGUAGAGUGAGUCGGCCCCUAAGGCGAGGCAGAGAUGCGUAGCUGAUGGGAACCAGGUCAAUAUUCCAGUACCGAUGUGUAGUGCGAUGUGGGGACGGAUCUUAAUAGGUCAUCCGGGUGUUGGAUAUCCCGGUUUAAUUGGAUGUAGGCGAUGGGUAGGCAAAUCCGCCCGUCAUAUACCGAGGCCAAUGAUCGAGCCAGCUUGCUGGUGAAGUGACUGAACGAGGUUCCAGGAAAAGCCACUAAGCUUCAGCUACACACGACCGUACCGCAAACCGACACUGGUGCGCGAGAUGAGUAUUCUAAGGCGCUUGAGAGAACUCAGGAGAAGGAACUCGGCAAAUUGACACCGUAACUUCGGAAGAAGGUGUGCCCUAGUAGUGUGAAGUGAACAACGGAGCAUGAAUGGGUUGCAAAAAAUCGGUGGCUGCGACUGUUUAUUAAAAACACAGCACUCUGCAAACACGAAAGUGGACGUAUAGGGUGUGACGCCUGCCCGGUGCUGGAAGAUUAAAUGAUGGGGUGCAAGCUCUUGAUUGAAGUCCCAGUAAACGGCGGCCGUAACAAUAACGGUCCUAAGGUAGCGAAAUUCCUUGUCGGGUAAGUUCCGACCUGCACGAAUGGCGUAACGAUGGCCACACUGUCUCCUCCUGAGACUCAGCGAAGUUGAAAUGUUUGUGAUGAUGCAAUCUCCCCGCGGAAAGACGGAAAGACCCCAUGAACCUUUACUGUAGCUUUGUAUUGGACUUUGAACAGAUCUGUGUAGGAUAGGUGGGAGGCUUUGAAGCAGGGUCGCUAGAUCUUGUGGAGCCAACGUUGAAAUACCACCCUGGUGUGUUCGAGGUUCUAACCUAGGUCCAUUAUCUGGAUCGGGGACAGUGCAUGGUAGGCAGUUUGACUGGGGCGGUCUCCUCCCAAAGCGUAACGGAGGAGUUCGAAGGUACGCUAGUUACGGUCGGACAUCGUGACGAUAGUGCAAUGGCAUAAGCGUGCUUAACUGCGAGACUGACAAGUCGAGCAGAUGCGAAAGCAGGACAUAGUGAUCCGGUGGUUCUGUAUGGAAGGGCCAUCGCUCAACGGAUAAAAGGUACUCUGGGAUAACAGGCUGAUACCGCCCAAGAGUUCAUAUCGACGGCGGUGUUUGGCACCUCGAUGUCGGCUCAUCUCAUCCUGGGGCUGUAGCCGGUCCCAAGGGUAUGGCUGUUCGCCAUUUAAAGAGGUACGUGAGCUGGGUUUAAAACGUCGUGAGACAGUUUGGUCCCUAUCUUCCGUGGGCGCUGCAGAUUUGAGGAAGCCUGCUCCUAGUACGAGAGGACCGGAGUGGACACACCUCUGGUGUAUCGGUUGUCACGCCAGUGGCAUUGCCGAGUAGCUAAGUGUGGUAGAGAUAACCGCUGAAAGCAUCUAAGCGGGAAACUCGUUUCAAGAUGAGAUCUGCCGGGGCCUUGAGCCCCCUGAAGAGUCGUUCAAGACCAGGACGUUGAUAGGUCAGGUGUGGAAGCGCAGUAAUGCGUUAAGCUAACUGAUACUAAUUGCUCGUGCGGCUUGAUC